UAAGCGUACACGGUGGAUGCCCUGGCAGUCAGAGGCGAUGAAGGGCGUGCUAAUCUGCGAUAAGCGCCGGUAAGGUGAUAUGAACCGUUAUAACCGGCGAUACCCGAAUGGGGAAACCCAGUGUGACUCGUCACACUAUCAUUAACUGAAUCCAUAGGUUAAUGAGGCGAACCGGGGGAACUGAAACAUCUAAGUACCCCGAGGAAAAGAAAUCAACCGAGAUUCCCCCAGUAGCGGCGAGCGAACGGGGAGGAGCCCAGAGCCUGAAUCAGCAUGUGUGUUAGUGGAAGCGUCUGGAAAGGCGCGCGAUACAGGGUGACAGCCCCGUACACAAAAGCGCAUGUGCUGUGAGCUCGAUGAGUAGGGCGGGACACGUGGUAUCCUGUCUGAAUAUGGGGGGACCAUCCUCCAAGGCUAAAUACUCCUGACUGACCGAUAGUGAACCAGUACCGUGAGGGAAAGGCGAAAAGAACCCCGGCGAGGGGAGUGAAAAAGAACCUGAAACCGUGUACGUACAAGCAGUGGGAGCACAGGUUUACCUGUGUGACUGCGUACCUUUUGUAUAAUGGGUCAGCGACUUAUAUUCUGUAGCAAGGUUAACCGAAUAGGGGAGCCGGAGGGAAACCGAGUCUUAAUUGGGCGUUAAGUUGCAGGGUAUAGACCCGAAACCCGGUGAUCUAGCCAUGGGCAGGUUGAAGGUUGGGUAACACUAACUGGAGGACCGAACCGACUAAUGUUGAAAAAUUAGCGGAUGACCUGUGGCUGGGGGUGAAAGGCCAAUCAAACCGGGAGAUAGCUGGUUCUCCCCGAAAGCUAUUUAGGUAGCGCCUCGUGAAUUCAUCUCCGGGGGUAGAGCACUGUUUCGGCUAGGGGGCCAUCCCGGCUUACCAACCCGAUGCAAACUGCGAAUACCGGAGAAUGUUAUCACGGGAGACACACGGCGGGUGCUAACGUCCGUCGUGAAGAGGGAAACAACCCAGACCGCCAGCUAAGGUCCCAAAGUCAUGGUUAAGUGGGAAACGAUGUGGGAAGGCCCAGACAGCCAGGAUGUUGGCUUAGAAGCAGCCAUCAUUUAAAGAAAGCGUAAUAGCUCACUGGUCGAGUCGGCCUGCGCGGAAGAUGUAACGGGGCUAAACCAUGCACCGAAGCUGCGGCAGCGA
This 1160-nucleotide ribosomal RNA is filed under the name Salmonella enterica. RNAcentral's name for it is "bacterial LSU rRNA". It matches the Rfam family "Bacterial large subunit ribosomal RNA", at positions 12 to 1211 of the family's 2925-position model. Lineage: Bacteria; Pseudomonadati; Pseudomonadota; Gammaproteobacteria; Enterobacterales; Enterobacteriaceae. The record is from RNAcentral.